Labeo rohita (rohu) is the source of this 319-nucleotide long non-coding RNA. RefSeq lists it as uncharacterized. The record is from RefSeq and is a predicted model, not a curated record. NCBI's taxonomy places the organism in Eukaryota, Metazoa, Chordata, Actinopteri, Cypriniformes, Cyprinidae. The transcript is spliced from 3 exons.
AGUGGAUGCACAAGAAAAUUAUGAUGUUGUCAUCAUUAAUAGACGAAGCUCUAAAGGGGUAACAGAGGGAGUUCAAGAGGAGUAUGAUGAUGUGGUGAGUGUUAGUGAACAUGUGAAAAACCUGUAGGAUUACAAGGAUGUGGAGGAGUCCUCAAAUGAAUAAGGGGGCAAUUUGGCUCAAUGAUCAGACCCACUGCCUCAGUUUAACAAAUCUGAACAAAGUUUGAGUGAUAUUGUUAUUGAUAUUUUUCCGGAUUUGUUUUUUGUAUUAAAACUUUUAUGUGUGAGGUAUUGCUGUAUUGUUUUGACCUUAACAUCA